Lynx canadensis (Canada lynx) is the source of this 1046-nucleotide long non-coding RNA. RefSeq lists it as uncharacterized. The transcript is spliced from 2 exons. NCBI's taxonomy places the organism in Eukaryota, Metazoa, Chordata, Mammalia, Carnivora, Felidae. The record is from RefSeq and is a predicted model, not a curated record.
CCAAGCAGGGAGGGUGGGCAAAAACUGGGCGCUGGGCUUGGGGCCAGGGCCCUGGGGGAUCCCCCCUUGGCCCCACAUUUGCUGGAAUGAGGGACAACAGUAUUUACUUUGGACAGGACAUCAGAAAGAAAAAGAAUCAAGGGGAGGAGACAACGGUUUUAAAGUUUGGGGGUGGCACUGGGGCAAAGACCAACAACUUGGGGACUUUCCCUUGGCAAGUCGAGGGUAAACAGUAGGACAAGGAGCCGCAGUUUCGGGGGUGCAGGGAGGCACAGGGAACUAGAGGUCUAGACGAGUGACAAAAAAGGUGUAGGGAGCAAUGGAAGAAUCAAAGAAAAUCUUGUGGAAGGGGCGUCCUGACGAGUUGGUUUGUGAACCCCAAGCGGGAAAGAAUAGCUCUGGAGCCCUUCCACGAGAAAAGUCUCCCAUCAACUGGGAGAGACAGCGGGGAAAGGCGAAGAGCUCCCGAAACCGAGGUGUGGGUUACAUUUCUGCGGGUGCACCAAUUGCCAUGAGCGCGGCUGCUUAAUGCUUCUGUCAUUGGAAGUCUGGUCUCCAAACCACCGUCUCAAGCCAGCAUGACUCCAGCUGCCUGGAAUUCCAUUCAUCUCUAAGGGCCGGGAUGUCAGCAGCCACACUUCCCCUGCUGUGGCCCUGCACUGUCAGGCUGGCCCUGAGACACAGGACGCAGGUAGUAGCCUCACCAAAUAAGGAGCUGUGCCACAGGCUGGGGAAAGCCCUUUGGUUCACCUUCCUUCUCAGUCCUCACACCUGGCAGGACUCCUAACUGCUGGAAACGCCCACGACUUUGCCUUCAUCACAAGGGCCCUGUCGCUUUUCUUGUGUGGGAGUGUUGUGUGACAACGUGCACGUGUGCGCGGAUUGCGGCAUCCGUGUUUUCUAGUUACUCAGUAUACAUCAAGUGCUUCUGGAAGAUGACAAGUAUGUUCCUAAGACACAUGUUUGUUGGUUGCUCAAAUAAUAACUAAACCUGACAGAUAGAUUUCACAUGUUGAGAGACAGAAAUAAAAGUUUCUAUCGGAUGA